CCGCGUGCGGGAUGAAGGCCUUCGGUUGUAACCGCUUCAAGCAGGGACGAUAAUGACGGUACCUGCAGAAGAAGCUCCGGCCAACUACGUGC
Molecule: ribosomal RNA, 92 nt
Filed under: uncultured bacterium
Lineage: Bacteria
Description: partial 16S ribosomal RNA
Source: RNAcentral